This 401-nucleotide RNase P RNA is filed under the name Thiomicrorhabdus sp. RNAcentral describes it as "RNase P RNA component class A". It matches the Rfam family "Bacterial RNase P class A". Rfam says of the family: Ribonuclease P (RNase P) is a ubiquitous endoribonuclease, found in archaea, bacteria and eukarya as well as chloroplasts and mitochondria. Lineage: Bacteria; Pseudomonadati; Pseudomonadota; Gammaproteobacteria; Thiotrichales; Piscirickettsiaceae. The record is from RNAcentral.
AAAGUGGGUUGGACAAUCGCGGGGGCGUUUUACGCUUCGGAGGAAAGUCCGGGCACCAUAGAGCAGAAUGCCAGCUAACGGCUGGGCGGCGUGAGCCGAUGGACAGUGCAACAGAAAAUAUACCGCCGAUGGCUUGCUUGCAAGCACAGGUAAGGUUGAAAUGGUGCGGUAAGAGCGCACCGCGCAACUGGUAACAGGUGUGGCAGUGAAAACCCCAUUCGGUGCAAGACCAAAUAGGGAAACAACGUUUUAAGCUCGCUUAAAACACCCUGUUGCUCGCAGGGGUUUCCGGGUAGGUUGCUUGAGGUUGGCAGUGAUGUCUAAUCCAGAUGAAUGGUUGUCACUUUUAGGAAAGCAAUUUUUUAAAAGAACAGAACCCGGCUUAUAGACCCACUUUUUAU